GAUGAAGAACGUAGCGAAAUGCGAUACUUGGUGUGAAUUGCAGAAUCCCGUGAACCAUCGAGUCUUUGAACGCAAGUUGCGCCCGAAGCCAUUAGGCCGAGGGCACGCCUGCCUGGGUGUCGCACGUCGUUGCCCCCCCAUCUACUCCUUCGGGAUUGCGGGGGGCGGAUGAUGGCCUCCCGUGCGCCUCGUCGCGCGGUCGGCAUAAAUGCCAAGUCCUCGGCGACGCACGCCACGACAAUCGGUGGUUGCGAAACCUCGGUUGCCCGUCGUGUGCGGUCGUCGCGCAUCGAGGGCUCGAAAAAAUUGCCGGGCUCCGGCACGGCUUUCAACGCGACCCCAGGUCAGGCGGGGUUACCCGCUGAAUUUAAGCAUAUCAAUAAGCGGAGGA
Molecule: unclassified non-coding RNA, 391 nt
Filed under: soil metagenome
Description: partial contains 5.8S ribosomal RNA, internal transcribed spacer 2, and large subunit ribosomal RNA
Rfam family: 5.8S ribosomal RNA (bases 1-122)
Source: RNAcentral